CGGGUGCACUGAUCCAGCCGGGCCUUUCCCUCUGUGGAACCCCAUGGCCUUCACUGGCUGUGGUGGGGAAACAGGACUUUUACUUUGAAAAAAUUAGAGUGCUCCAGGCAGGCCUAUGCUCGAAUACAUUAGCAUGGAAUAAUAGAAUAGGACGUGUGGUUCUAUUUUGUUGGUUUCUAGGACCGCCGUAAUGAUUAAUAGGGACAGUCGGGGGCAUCAGUAUUCAAUUGUCAGAGGUGAAAUUCUUGGAUCUAUUGAAGACUAACUACUGCGAAAGCAUUUGCCAAGGAUGUUUUCAUUGAUAAGGAACGAAAGUUAGGGGACCGAAGACGAUCAGAUACCGUCGUAGUCUUAACUAUAAACUAUGCCGACUAGGGAUCGGACGAUGUUAUUCUUUGACGCGUUCGGCACCUUUCGAGAAAUCAAAGUGCUUGGGCUCCAGGGGGAGUAUGGUCGCAAGGCUGAAACUUAAAGAAAUUGACGGAAGGGCACCACCAGGGGUGGAACCUGCGGCUUAACUUGACUCAACACGGGGAAACUCACCAGGUCCAGACACAGUGAGGAUUGACAGAUUGAGAGCUCUUUCUUGAUUCUGUGGGUGGUGGUGCAUGGCCGUUCUUAGUUGGUGGAGUGAUUUGUCUGCUUAAUUGCGAUAACGAACGAGACCUUAACCUGCUAAAUAGCCCGUACUGCUUUGGCAGUUCGCCGGCUUCUUAGAGGGACUAUCGG
Molecule: ribosomal RNA, 729 nt
Filed under: uncultured eukaryote
Lineage: Eukaryota
Description: SSU rRNA
Rfam family: Eukaryotic small subunit ribosomal RNA
Source: RNAcentral